This 253-nucleotide ribosomal RNA is filed under the name uncultured bacterium. RNAcentral describes it as "partial 16S ribosomal RNA". It matches the Rfam family "Bacterial small subunit ribosomal RNA", at positions 524 to 776 of the family's 1533-position model. The record is from RNAcentral.
GACGAACCGCGCGAACGUUGUUCGGAAUCACUGGGCUUAAAGGGCGCGUAGGCGGGUGCUCAAGUCCGUGGUGAAAUCCUCCGGCUCAACCGGAGAACUGCCUCGGAUACUGGGUGCCUCGAGGGUGGUAGGGGUAUGCGGAACUAUCGGUGGAGCGGUGAAAUGCGUUGAUAUCGAUAGGAACACCUGCGGCGAAGGCGGGUUGCUGGGCUGACACUGACGCUGAAGCGCGAAAGCUAGGGGAGCGAACGGG